CGCAGCCCUGUCAAAUUCGAUCCCUGCCUCUUCCGUGGUCGGGACCGGCCAACCGGCUGCCACAACAACUUCCGUGCUCCAUGAGCUCCGUGUCCCCUUCCCGUGGGACUCCAGGGAGAUAAAAUCAGGCCACGGACACAU
Cuculus canorus (common cuckoo) is the source of this 141-nucleotide small nucleolar RNA. RefSeq annotates it as small nucleolar RNA SNORA5. The transcript has a single exon. The record is from RefSeq and is a predicted model, not a curated record. NCBI's taxonomy places the organism in Eukaryota, Metazoa, Chordata, Aves, Cuculiformes, Cuculidae.